GCUCCUCUUACCUUUAAGGCAACAGGCUAAGAAAGGAGUUACAGUGUUAUCUGGGGUGAUUGACCAGGACUGUGAAUAUGAAAUCAGUCUACUACUCCACAACGGAGUGAUCAUUCAACACCUGACCUGGAGGAAUUCAGAAUUCAGCGGGGGUACAUUCUCAGCUGAGAGAAGACAGAAAUAAAACUAAAAGCUAAUUCUCUCUGGACUUGGAGAGGAAGGAGUAUCAGAGAAGCAGAGAAGAGAAAAAAGCUUAGAAAGCAGGAAAGAAGCUGAAAGCAUUUGGAAGACAUCGUGAACUCUUUGAAGGCAGAAACUAAAUGAAAUUCACCUUCAUAUUUACAGGGACCAGCACAGCCUCUAGAAUAGAAUGGGUGCUCAAAUCAAUAUUUCUUUAAAAGAAUAAAUGAAUGAAUAAAUAAAUGAAUGCAAGUGGA
This 437-nucleotide long non-coding RNA is filed under the name Pan troglodytes (chimpanzee). Its description in RNAcentral is "long non-coding RNA NONPTRT017151". The record is from RNAcentral. Lineage: Eukaryota; Metazoa; Chordata; Mammalia; Primates; Hominidae.